AGCAGCCUGCACAAAGUAGGAGAGAGCUAAGUGCGUUGUGAAGAGCGAGCAAUAUCUGUGAUAUUACCUGUUGUGACCUGGACUGUCGGACUACAUCCCUUGUGUACCGGACCGGAUUGGCUGAGGAGCCGAGUGUGAGGAUUACUCCUGGAAAACGGAAUGGACAACGAAAACGGCUUGUGGACUGUGAGAUGGAGAGGAGAGGCAGGAGAUGGCUCCCCUGGCGAAUGAACUCCAGGCAACACCGGCCAGUCAGAUAACAACAAGAUGGAGACCCAUCCAACAUGUGUGAACAUCGUCCAGCCACUUCUGUAGAAAAGUUUUGCCGCCCUGACUCUGGCUCCUGAUCCACAUCUCACCACCCUGCUACCCUAUUCUAGACCACACCACCACUCCCUUGGAUUCCCCUCCGGACCUGUAUACCCUGUCCCAACCCAGCUCACUCCAACCUCAGCCUCCACAUCUGGUUUCCUACAACUCAUCCAAGCAUCCCCGGAUCUGCACUCCGUAUCUCCCUGUGUUACAAUAAAUAACUAGGUUCAUUCAUCUCUGUUUCCUCAUCUGAGUCUGCUCUAGGGUUCCCCUGUGCUGCUCUACUUAACAAACAGCAGUUAAGCAUCGCUCAUCAUGUCACCAGAAUAAGACCCUCUAUAUUUAUUGGAAAGCAUCAUCAAGCUCAUCACCGUGCACUUUCAACACCCUGUGAAGUUCACCGUAACUUAUUUAAUCUGUAGCCUAUUAAACUGCAGUCGUAGUGGGAGGACCACAUACCAUCUCAUCGCCUGACUCCAAAUUGACUUCGAUAUGAUUGUUAUUAUAUAUAUAUUUGCACAUAAAGGCGUGUGCAGACACAAAAAGACCCCACCAUGUCAAACAAAAUAAGUAGGCCAUUAGGCUAAUUACACCAAAACUUCUUGUUUCCAUCAAAGUUGUUGUG
Molecule: long non-coding RNA, 937 nt
Organism: Oncorhynchus keta (chum salmon)
Lineage: Eukaryota; Metazoa; Chordata; Actinopteri; Salmoniformes; Salmonidae
Exons: 3
Source: RefSeq, a predicted model, not a curated record